RNAcentral lists this ribosomal RNA (805 nucleotides) under uncultured Gammaproteobacteria bacterium. RNAcentral's name for it is "bacterial SSU rRNA". It matches the Rfam family "Bacterial small subunit ribosomal RNA", at positions 1 to 815 of the family's 1533-position model. The record is from RNAcentral. Lineage: Bacteria; Pseudomonadati; Pseudomonadota; Gammaproteobacteria.
UAGAGUUUGAUCAUGGCUCAGAUAGAACGCUGGCGGCAUGCCUAACACAUGCAAGUCGAACGGCAGCGCGGGCUUCGGCCUGGCGGCGAGUGGCGGACGGGUGAGGAAUACAUAGGAAUCUGCCCAGUCGUGGGGGAUAACCCGGGGAAACCCGGACUAAUACCGCAUACGACGGUGACGUGAAAGCCGGGGACCUUCGGGCCUGGCGCGAUUGGAUGAGCCUAUGUCGGAUUAGCUAGUUGGCGGGGUAAAGGCCCACCAAGGCGACGAUCCGUAGCUGGUCUGAGAGGAUGAUCAGCCACACUGGGACUGAGACACGGCCCAGACUCCUACGGGAGGCAGCAGUGGGGAAUAUUGGACAAUGGGCGCAAGCCUGAUCCAGCAAUGCCGCGUGGGUGAAGAAGGCCUUCGGGUUGUAAAGCCCUUUUGUACGGGAAGAAAUCAUCCGGGUUAAUACCCUGGGUGGAUGACGGUACCGUAAGAAUAAGCACCGGCUAACUUCGUGCCAGCAGCCGCGGUAAUACGAAGGGUGCAAGCGUUAAUCGGAAUUACUGGGCGUAAAGCGUGCGUAGGUGGUUGUUCAAGUCUGUCGUGAAAGCCCUGGGCUCACCUGGGAAUGGCGAUGGAAACUGGGCGACUGGAGUGCGGUAGAGGAUGGCGGAAUUCCCGGUGUAGCGGUGAAUGCGUAGAGAUCGGGAGGAACAUCCGUGGCGAAAGGCGCAUCUGGACCACCACUGACACUGAGGCCGAAAGCGUGGGGAGCAAAGGAUUAAAACACUGGUAGUCACGCCUAAACCAUCCAAUG